AUUGAACGCUGGCGGCAGGCCUAACACAUGCAAGUCGAGCGGAUGAAGGGAGCUUGCUCCUGGAUUCAGCGGCGGACGGGUGAGUAAUGCCUAGGAAUCUGCCUGGUAGUGGGGGAUAACGUCCGGAAACGGGCGCUAAUACCGCAUACGUCCUGAGGGAGAAAGUGGGGGAUCUUCGGACCUCACGCUAUCAGAUGAGCCUAGGUCGGAUUAGCUAGUUGGUGGGGUAAAGGCCUACCAAGGCGACGAUCCGUAACUGGUCGGAGAGGAUGAUCAGUCACCCUGGAACUGACACACGGUCCAGACUCCUACGGGAGGCAGCAGUGGGGAAUAUUGGACAAUGGGCGAAAGCCUGAUCCAGCCAUGCCGCGUGUGUGAAGAAGGUCUUCGGAUUGUAAAGCACUUUAAGUUGGGAGGAAGGGCAGUAAGUUAAUACCUUGCUGUUUUGACGUUACCAACAGAAUAAGCACCGGCUAACUUCGUG
This 484-nucleotide ribosomal RNA is filed under the name uncultured bacterium. Its description in RNAcentral is "partial 16S ribosomal RNA". It matches the Rfam family "Bacterial small subunit ribosomal RNA", at positions 30 to 507 of the family's 1533-position model. The record is from RNAcentral.